CACAAUAGGUGGAAGUAAGAAGCUGCGCUAGGAAGCGAAACGCAUCUCUUAAUUAGUUAUUGUUAGCAUACUGUAUAGAAAGAAGUUCCGACUGACUUUAUAACACCGGUUGCUGUCUUCUGCCCUGUGGGAGAGAUUCUUAGAUGAAGCAUGUAUCAGAUAAAUACUUAAAAUAUAUUUCUAAUGCGACUGAAGGCUAACACAGAAAACUGGACAUCGUGUGGUGUAAAUCAUGUUGCUGCUGCUCCCACAACAAACACUGCAUGACUGAAAAAUAGAAGAUGCUGGGUUCGACACUGACUUCAAAGGAGGGGCCAGGAAAAGGACUGCUAUUCCUUAUUGAUGAAGGAUCCACUGCAAUUCAAAAAUUUUGUGAGAAUGGAUCCAGCUUGUUUCAAUAAGCUGUUAUCCUUCACUGAGCCGAAUACUCACCUGAGAGACACAGUUAUGAGGGACGCAAUUUUGCCAAGCAGAAGGCAAGACUUUAAUUUUGUUAGCAGUUACGUUGCAAUUUCUGGCGACUGGUGAAUCGUACAAGAGCUUGUCAUUUCCACAACAUAUUUCAGUUUUGAAUCUGUCUAAACUGAUAAUAGAUGUAUGCUGUGGAAUACUUUAAAGGGAUAAGUAUUUGAAGGUUCAUGUUUCCUCCAUUACUGAUUUAAAAAAUAGGAAAAAGUGAAAACUUUCACAUCACUUUUGAUUUCUUACAGGCACCAACAACUGAGGAGGAUUGGCUUCAAAUAGAGGCAGCUUUUGAUAAAUUGUGGCAGUUUCCAAACUGCAUAGGUGCUACGGAUGGUACACACAUUGUGUUCUCCCCACUGCGGACUGCAUGUUCACAGUACUACAACUACAGAAAAUUCGAUAGUGUUGUGCAGCUUGCAGUAGUGGAUGCACGUUACAGAUUUCAACUUUUUGACAUUGGAGUUUUGAUGAACAGUAAAAUAAGUGUUGCCCUCUUAGAAAAUUGGUUGAAUGAGCCACAGGCAAUAUCCUUGGAGUGCAGCAAUAUUACUGUACCGGUACCAUAUGUAAUUGUGGCUGAUGAUGCUUUUCGGUUGGAGCCAAACAUAAUGAAACCAUUCAGAGACUGUGGUGGUGAUAAAACCAAAAGAGUGUUCAAUUACAGACUAUCGCGGGCAAGGGGAGUUGUAGAAAAUACAUUUGCCAUCCUUGCAAACAGAUUGAGUUCUCCUGGGUACAAUAAGGCUGCCAGUUGAAAAAGUAGUGCAAAUUGUGGAGACACUAUGCAUUUUACACAAUUUUUUGAUAGCUGAAGCAGAUUCCACAUAUUUGCUGGCUUACAGAUGUAGAGGACACACAAUUGUGCAUAGUGGAGGAAGGAGCUUGGAGGAUGGAUGCUGCUCUACCAGGCAUUGCUCAACAGGUUGGAAAUUGAACACCGUGCAGUGCGAGAGAUGUGUGUGAUAGGUUCUGUCAAUAUUUUAAUAGCAUUACGUAUGUCCCAUGGCAAAGGGAAUCGACAAAAAAUUUGAUUAUUGAGGAAUAUACCUAAGAACUUAAAAUGAAUGCUCUGUGUUAAAAAAAUUGGAAGCUGAUUCAAAAAAGAAGAAACAAUGCAGAAAAAAAGUUUCUUGAUUUUUAAUAGUCUUUCUUAUUUAAAUAAAAUGAGCAUUUUGUUAAUAUAAUUGUAUGUAAUCAGCAUCUUAAAAUAUCAAUAGAGCUCAGCAGCUGGAUUCCAUUGUGAAUUAUUGAAUUUCACAUGUCAGGUAGUUGUAUUUACCUUUUUUUCCCAUUUGUAUGUAUCACCUCAUACCAAUGAAUUUUUUUCUGUAAUGGUGUAGUAUGAGUAGUGAAGGCCAAGCAUUUGAUGUUUGUGUGUCAAAAAUAUCCAUUUCCUCAAAACAUCAAAUGUCUGGGUGUCAAAAACAAAGUGUGUGUGUGUUCAACACACCAGACGCCUGUUCAAAGGUGUAUUAGCUGCAAAUUUAAAGUUAAUGCUGUCUGUAGUAAUUCAAUAAAUAUUAUCAAAUGUUUUGCUGUAUAUGUAGAAUCUUGUCUACUCAAAUGACUUUCCAAGUUUGUCAGGUUAUUUUUGGUCAUCUGAAAAAUGUAAUUCAGGUUGCUGAAUAUAUGAACAAGGCUAUGAAAGAAGGUUGUCGUUAAAAUAUAAGCCAAAGAGCCUUGGGUCAUCCUGGCAGGAGCCAUGAUAAAAAAGUUGCCACUGUUGUGUACUUUCCAUUUAACCCUUCAUUUUUAUUAACUGAUUGUUUUUCUGUGUAAGAGAUCCUAUUUCAUGAUCAUAUGGCUUGAUGUAUCAGAAAUACAUGGGACUUGAAGUAACAGGACUGCCACGAAUAAUUUUUUAAACACUGCUACAGGCUGUAUGUCCCUUAGGAAUGGUACAUUGUGUCAACAUUCGAAUAUCAUAUGUAAUAGGGAAUUCUAAUUUAGCAUAUUAUGAAUGUUGUUAUGCAUAUGGUUUCAUGUUAUAUGUAAUAAUAUUUUAUUUAUGGACAUAUCAUUGUAAAUCUUUUCAUGUCCUAUUUUCUAUGUAAGGCAAUGUAUGACAAAUCCUAUAUCAUUUUUAUAAUG
Molecule: long non-coding RNA, 2556 nt
Organism: Schistocerca serialis cubense
Lineage: Eukaryota; Metazoa; Arthropoda; Insecta; Orthoptera; Acrididae
Exons: 4
Source: RefSeq, a predicted model, not a curated record